This 415-nucleotide ribosomal RNA is filed under the name uncultured bacterium. Its description in RNAcentral is "bacterial SSU rRNA". It matches the Rfam family "Bacterial small subunit ribosomal RNA", at positions 954 to 1389 of the family's 1533-position model. The record is from RNAcentral.
GCAGAACGCGAAGAACCUUACCAACCCUUGACAUUACAGGACAUCCCCAGAGAUGGGGCUUUCACUUCGGUGACCUGUGGACAGGUGCUGCAUGGCUGUCGUCAGCUCGUGUCGUGAGAUGUUCGGUUAAGUCCGGCAACGAGCGCAACCCACACUUUCAGUUGCCAGCAUUCAGUUGGGCACUCUGGAAGAACUGCCGAUGAUAAGUCGGAGGAAGGUGUGGAUGACGUCAAGUCCUCAUGGCCCUUACGGGUUGGGCUACACACGGUGCUACAAUGGUGGUGACAGUGGGUUAAAUCCCCAAAAGCCAUCUCAGUUCGGAUUGGGGUCUGCAACUCGACCCCAUGAAGUUGGAAUCGCUAGUAAUCGCGGAACAGCAUGCCGCGGUGAAUACGUUCCCGGGGUCUUGUACACA